Non-coding RNA from Pelobates cultripes (western spadefoot toad), 442 nucleotides. The record is from the annotation of a GenBank genome assembly. Lineage: Eukaryota; Metazoa; Chordata; Amphibia; Anura; Pelobatidae.
UAUGUACAUACACAAUAAUAAAGAAAAUGUAAACCAAAACACUCACAAGGGUAGAGCAAUAGAAGUCUGCUCUAAACUUUGUAGGCUUAUAUUGCAAUAAUGUAGACUGGAAACUGUGGUGAAGUUAAAUCCUUUAUUGCUUCUUUAAAAAUAUCGCUGCAUAAGGCUGGUAAGUCCCACUUAUCUGGUCUCCUCUUAUGGUUAGUGCUGGUAUAUGCAGUCACACUUUCGGCGCCGGCUGUACAGGGUCUCUGUAUGCCGAAAGGACUUCCUAGUUCCAAACACUUCCGGGAGGCGGGUCUUAGCGGCCGGUGAGCGUGAUGACGCGUUUCGCCGAGGGGUUCGGCUUCCUCAGAUCAGCUCCUUUCACACCACGGUCCCAAUUUAUAAGUCUUAAAAAGCAUUUAUAUAUGCACAUUAAGCACAUCAUUUAUAUCUUGUU